CAAAAAGACAAAAACAUUAAACAUGGAGAUGUGGAACAAAAACUCAGAAAGAAAGCAACGUAGAAGUAAGUCUACUCAUAAAAUGGACUGUGGACCGAAGUAUUCGAAAGUUUCGGAAUCUUUGCGUUACAUUACGUCAGGUUCAGUUCAAUGCUCGAUGUUUUGUGGCGGCAGGCAGUGUAAAUAUGAAGGACAGGCGAAGUGGAGUGACAGUGAAAUGGUUAUCAAAGGUUUAUAUUCUUCAUGGUAUGUUUCCUUAAUUUGUU
Paramuricea clavata is the source of this 266-nucleotide non-coding RNA. The record is from the annotation of a GenBank genome assembly. Lineage: Eukaryota; Metazoa; Cnidaria; Anthozoa; Malacalcyonacea; Plexauridae.